RNAcentral lists this unclassified non-coding RNA (909 nucleotides) under Hevea brasiliensis (rubber tree). Lineage: Eukaryota; Viridiplantae; Streptophyta; Magnoliopsida; Malpighiales; Euphorbiaceae. The record is from RNAcentral.
UCAUUCCUAGGCAAAAAGGUUGGAUUAACUGGCGCAAUAGCUGUUUUUGAGGGCAGCACCCUCACAGGAUAGUACCCAAGCAUUGUCCCAGCCAGAUUCAAAGCAGCCUGUGCACCUUCUUCAUCAGUGAACUCUAUAAAGGCAAAACGAAGUACAGAAUUGGGAUCCCCACAAAUUCGGCAGUCCACCACCUGCCCACAGCUAACAAAAAGCGCUGCAAGCUGCUCUUCAGUGACCUGUUGAUCAAUGUCAGACACAUACACAGUCCUGCGAAUUAUCUCCUCCCUCUGAGCCAUACUGGUCCUGCUGUUCAUCCUCCGUUUCCCUUGAUUAUUGUUUUUCUUCCUUCGACCAGCAUUUCCAUUUAGCGGUCCAUUUCUAGUGUCGUUGAUAUGCAUAAAAGAGUCAUCGUUGUUGUUACUAAAAAAACCCACACUGAGUCCAUGAUGAUUGCCACUGCUGUAAGCAAGCGAAGGAGGCACAAACUCCUCAGCCAUGGGGUUGAGCUUAGAGAAUAACUCCUGCAGCUCUCUUAUAUCCCUCUUGUAGCUCUCUUCCACAUCCCCAUCUCUCUGUAAAUCACCUGCGCUGCAGUUAGAUCGCUGAUGAUGAGAAGGAUAAUGAUUCGCCACCUGCAGACUCGGCGGCGGGGGCCGCGGGCUGCUGGGGCUUAACGUUGGGCUGCGGUUGAACCUGGACCUUCAUGUAGAGAGGCUGAAUCGAGACAGCGUUGUCGAUGCGCGACCGUAAGUGGUGGCUGUGAUUGGGGUUGAGCUGGUCGUGAUCGCUGGCGGACAAUGACAAGCUCGAAUCUAGACUGGAUGAUGAGCUCGAGCCCACUGUCAUCCCCAAAUCCACACUCGCAUUCUCUACAACUGCCAUGAUUUUGCUUGCUCAAUUCUCAAAAAA